Osmia lignaria (orchard mason bee) is the source of this 1852-nucleotide non-coding RNA. The record is from RefSeq and is a predicted model, not a curated record. Lineage: Eukaryota; Metazoa; Arthropoda; Insecta; Hymenoptera; Megachilidae.
AUUAAUUAUCGCGGAAGAGAGACGAAUGGAAUUGAUAGAUUCAUGACAAAAGACAUACGACGUACGAUUUCCGCGUCGACGAUACGUAAACGAAGGUUAUCAUCGAGAGGAUUCUCUGUUCGUGCACGAACACAUAUCUGAAUCGUAAAGAGCAACGGGACGACGCGACACCCUGAUUCUGGGUACUAUAGCUGGUUCCUCCGAGCGUGCUCUUGACCGCCCAAACGGCGCCAACCACCGUUCCGUCGCGUCCGCGUUUUUCGUUCGCCAACACCAAAGUAACAUCACGGUGGCAACGGGUCAACGUUUCGUAUACCGGAUUAUCUGUUCAUGGUACAGGGUAACGUUACCAGUCAAUUCAACACUUUCUCUUGCAUCAUUUUCAAUGUAAGUACAAGCGUAGAAUUUCGAAUCGCUUCGAUAGACUUGUUUGAGAAGAGAAACAUUCUUCAAACUGUUGAAAAGUUUAAGAAACUUCAAUGGGAAAAAAACUAUACAUACUCGGAUUUAAAAUUUAAAUGAAGAAUAAAAGAAUAGCCUGACGUUGUAAAAUUUCAAGGAUCAUCUUUUCUUGGAAACGGAGACGAGAGGUAUCGAAAUGUUGUGUGUUUUUUUUCUUGCCUGUUCUUUCCUAAAUAUCAGCGUAUCCUAUUCCUCGCCAAUCUUACUGAAAGAAAAAUAAAUUGUUCCAAUGAAUCGACAGAUAGCUAUUAUUCAUCAAGAAUUAUUCGAUGCAAUAAUUUCGAUUAAAUUUACUUCUCUGAUAACGCGUCUUAAACAAGAAAACUAUCUGACUGAUCGUGAAAGGGCAGCAGCCAAACAUCGGGGGGUGACUCUUUAAAAGUCUGAAGAAAAAGAUUGUCAGUCGAACGGAUCUCAUCGUUGAAACAUCUGAGCGUGCCAUAUGAUUGCUAUUACACGUUUCUACGAGUCACGUAAUAGACGAGCUUGCGAACGUUACAUCAACGGUUUUAUAAAUUCCAUGUGUUCACCUAAGAAAUGAUGUUAAUGUUCAAUACCGUUCACAAGUAUCGAAACAGUUGCUAUCAUGGAAACGACAAUACAUAAAUGUUAUUACAUAUGUGUAUAUUGGAGAAAAAUCAAUUUCCUUUCUACAGAGUUAUGUAGGCGUAAUUAUAAAAAAAUUUGAUAGGACCAUGUUAAAAAGAAAAUUUUACGAGAAAAAUUAUGUAAAAAGAAAGCGGGGAAACGAGCUGAAGAGCGGCGGCAAUUCGAACGAGUCGUGGUCCGAGAGUGGGCGUUUGUGCGAUAUCAAAAGUUAUCUGCACCCGCCGACGCGACGUGCCUGAAUUUAUUAAACGAAAAGUACGGUAAACGAUCUCUCUCUCUCUCUCUCUCUUUCUCUGGAUACAGGCAAUGACUUACCACUUGAUCGAAUCAGUUACGAUGAAAAGGGAGCUCUGAACGUAUCGCAUCGUGUGUUUGUCGUAACAACGGACUACAUUUUCGCAGAAUGAAUACGAAAUCAGUUAACUGUGAUUCGGCUAUGAUACAUAGUCGAACACGAUACAACAGGCUUCCUGACGUUUAUGUUUCAUGGGACACCGUUCCUCUCGCGUCCUUGACUUGAUUCGUUAAACCAACAUACGAAUUUUCAUUUAUCCGUUGAGAUCCUCUCGAAUGUUUACAAUUCUGAACAAUCCACUAAAUUGUUCUUCACUGUAAUUAGUUCUCAUUUUAAAGUUAGGAUAAUAAAAAUAUUUCAAUUUAUAAACAACGAGGAACGCGGAGAAAAUCCAAGUAUGUAGGUGGUUAAGAAGCGCGAAUCGAACGAAUUUAAAAUCUUAAAUACAUACAUACAUACAUAUAGCGAGUCACGUGAAAAACAGAA